CUAGGAUCUGUAUGGUCCAAAAUGUGCAUGGAGCAAAGACAGAAACAGCUCUGAUUACAGCAGAACCGUGUCAUUGCCAUGGCGGUUCAAAGACUUGGACACACGACAGGAUGAGAAUCAUAGUUCGGAUGCUGGAAAAUAAGCAUCGUAAAUUAUUUCAUUUCCUGCUCUCGGAAAAUCAUGUGGACUAUAAUGAUCACUUGAGCAGAACUGGCACCACUACAACUCUGCAAAUUAUACACGCCGAAGGACUUGACAAACAGAGCAGGUGGCUGGGUGGCUAUGGCCAUAGAUGAACAACACAGAGGAGACGGGAGGCCGGAGGGAGGGGGAGAUGGUGCUUACCGGACAUGGUUGAAGGCGAAUCAGACCAUGAGGGCGGCGACGCUGUGGCUAUCCGUUCUCGCCUCCGCCUCCAUCUCGUCUCCUACCUUGUUCUCGUUUGAGUGCGGGGGAUAUGAGGAUGUCAAGGCGAGCGGAUGCUCCGGGUCGGUGGGUCAUGGAGGCGGUCUGCUCUGAGCGCCGGGGUGGGGUUCGCGGUGGCCGGAGCCGGCUUUGGCGAGGUCGUAGCAUUUUUCAGAAAACCCUCUAUCGCGAUCAAUAAUCGCGAUCCAUAUAUUU
This 621-nucleotide long non-coding RNA is filed under the name Setaria viridis. RNAcentral's name for it is "long non-coding RNA (SVIR_LNC008448)". Lineage: Eukaryota; Viridiplantae; Streptophyta; Magnoliopsida; Poales; Poaceae. The record is from RNAcentral.